RNAcentral lists this small RNA (297 nucleotides) under Sclerotinia sclerotiorum 1980 UF-70. RNAcentral's name for it is "5' ureB small RNA". It matches the Rfam family "5' ureB small RNA". Lineage: Eukaryota; Fungi; Ascomycota; Leotiomycetes; Helotiales; Sclerotiniaceae. The record is from Rfam by way of RNAcentral.
CUUCAUAAACUUGCUGAGGGCAAAUGAAGUGGAUAUGGGUAUCAAAGCCACCGGCAGUAAUGAUUUUGCCUUCACCAGCAAUAACAUCCGUACAUGAUCCGACAAUCAUAUUCGGAGUGACACCAUCCAUCACAUCAGGAUUACCGGCUUUACCAAUACCUACUAUCAUACCGUUUUUAACACCAAUAUCGGCUUUGUAGAUACCAGUCCAAUCGACAAUCAAGGCAUUAACAAUAACAAGAUCCAAUGAUAUGUCGUCGGAUACACCUGUAGCUUGGCCCAUACCUUCUCGUAAAG